AGCUCCAAUAGCGUAUAUUAAAGUUGUUGCAGUUAAAAAGCUCGUAGUUGAAACUCUUGGUGUGUCGCCGUGCGGGCACGUGUAACGCGUGGUUUCGCUGCGGUGUGCGCGCUGAACAUUUUGCGGGGUGCGGUGGUGGUCUUGAUUGGCUUGCCCCGUCCGUGGCUCUUUGGUGAGUGGUCCCCGCAUCGAUUACUGUGAACAAAUUAGAGUGUUCAAAGCAGGCGUUGAUUGCUUGAAUACAUUAGCAUGGAAUAAUGAUAUAGGACUUUGGUGCUAUUUCGUUGGUUGUGUACCAAGGUAAUGAUUAAUAGGGAUAGUUGGGGGUAUUCAUAUUUGAUUGUCAGAGGUGAAAUUCUUGGAUUUAUUAAAGAUGAACAAGUGCGAAAGCAUUUACCAA
This 400-nucleotide ribosomal RNA is filed under the name phytoplankton environmental sample. Its description in RNAcentral is "partial small subunit ribosomal RNA". It matches the Rfam family "Eukaryotic small subunit ribosomal RNA", at positions 587 to 961 of the family's 1831-position model. The record is from RNAcentral.